Molecule: ribosomal RNA, 254 nt
Filed under: uncultured bacterium
Lineage: Bacteria
Description: partial 16S ribosomal RNA
Rfam family: Bacterial small subunit ribosomal RNA
Source: RNAcentral
GACGGAGGGUGCUAGCGUUGUUCGGUAUCACUGGGCGUAAAGGGCGCGUCGGCGGCGGGUCGAGUCGGUUUGUGAAAGCCCGGGGCUCAACCCCGGAGGUGCGGCCGAUACUGAUCUGCUCGAGGCCGGAAGAGGAGGGUGGAAUACCCAGUGUAGAGGUGAAAUUCGUAGAUAUUGGGUGGAACACCGGUGGCGAAAGCGGCUCUCUGGUCCGGACCUGACGCUGAGGCGCGAAAGCGUGGGGAGCAAACAGG